Macadamia integrifolia is the source of this 3636-nucleotide long non-coding RNA. RefSeq lists it as uncharacterized. The record is from RefSeq and is a predicted model, not a curated record. The transcript is spliced from 2 exons. Lineage: Eukaryota; Viridiplantae; Streptophyta; Magnoliopsida; Proteales; Proteaceae.
AAGUUUCGUCCUGACCUUCCUCACAUCCGUUCAUCUUCAAUACUUCCACGAUCUCUGGUUCCUCACUUCCUCUUCCUGUUCUUAUGGAGUUCUUUAAUGGUUACUCCUUAGGAAAUCCAGGUCUCAGAGGAUGAGAAAGGAACCAAUUGGAUAUCAAAUGAUGCAUUAGCUUUGAAUCACAUUUUUACAGUUUCAAAAACCUAUGGUGGUUUCAUUGUUCAGGAUCUAUGGAUUCUAAGCUUGAAGGAGACUCUUCAUUAGUGGUAGAUCUUUCUUCUCAAUCCAAAUAAGCUAUCUUCAUGGGCUAUAAUUCCCCCAUUUGCAACUUCAAUUUGUUUUCACUUCUCAUGGUGUCAGGAAGUGAACUAUGGUGUUGGGACUGUUAGAAAACUAUGAACUUCAAAUCCUAUCUUGAAGAUUCAAGGUUUCUAAUUUUGUAAGGGCUCUUUCUAUAUCUUCUGGAUUCUGAAUUCUGAUUCUGUUUACUUUACUCACUUUUGUUUCUUGUUCUCCUCUAAAUAUCCACUCAUUUUAUUGUUAUUAACCAUUCUAGUAUCCCUGCUUCAUUUGGUUGUUAUUUGUUAGUUCAAAAAGAUAUAUGCGAAAAUCCACAGUUCUUGGGAUGAGAUUUAGCCUUUUACAACAAGUUUUAGCUUUACUGGAUGGAUAUGAAGUCUGAAUUCUUCUCUGAAUGGCCAUCUGGUGCUGUAAAAGGCUUACAUUUCUCAAACUUAAAGCAGGACAAACAAAGGGAAGAAAGAAAGCGGGUGGGAGGACUAGUAGUCGAUACCUGUCAACCCUUGCUACAAAUGGUUAGUUACCUCAUAAAAUACGAAAAUGUGUGCCACUGUAAGAACAAUGGGUGUCCUGAAGUGCACAGAAGACUUCAUGGUUUGGUGGGUUAGGCCAUGAGCAAAGCUACACCACUUCAUGGAUCUGGCUGUGUGAACCGAUGAGAUUAUAAAUUGCCUCAAAAGGCUCACCUGGUCAGUUCCCAUUAUAUUGAUUUCCAUCUUAGCUCCAUAUGGUAUCUGCCACUUGUUUAAUUGCUUUGUUGAUUGGUAAUUGUCUUAAGCUGUAGUUAAUGGUCAGUCAUCUAUCUCUUGUGAAUUAGAUGCAUCACCUUGUUCAUAUCCUUUGUCUAGCCCUUCAGUCAGUUCUGUUCCAGGAUAAAUUAUUUGUAAUUGUGGGUUUAUGAUGCUUUGUGUCGACCUUUCAAUUUAGUUCUCUUCUUAAGAGUAAAGGCAUAGAAAAGUAAUCUCAUCUUCUAUUGAAUCGUGCUUGCUUGAAACUGUUGUGAAAACCUGGUUUGCAUGAUGUGCUCUCAGAGAGAAAUUAAGCCAUUCCAAGAUUAGCAUGAGGGUGGGGAUGACCCCAAUGACAGCACAUUCACAGCCUGAUAGGAUCCAAAUUAGGUAUUGCAAACCUAGUAAUGUGGUUUCUAAGCACCUAAAAGAUUAGGGUUAGAAAACCUCAAGUAAUACCAAAAUCACAGCAAUGAGGAACAAACAGAUUUAAGAGAAUCAAUAACUUAAUGAAACACAUCUAAUUAGGCCAAAACCUUGGUCGAGUGAUCUAUUUGUCAAGGGGAACAGUCCAGUAAAGUUUGAUUGAAAACUGAUGGCUAGAUACCAAGUUCUGAAACAAUUCUUCUGGAAAUACGAAAGUUCGUGAGCUGCAGAAUCGAUGGACAGUUUAGGGCCCUAAAACAGAACCUGGUCAACGUGUUAAGUAGGGGUUUGAGCAAAUACAUUGAAUUUCGAAUGCCAUUACUAUCUCCCCCAGAUAAAUAUCCUAUUCUUGUGCCAGUAACCUAACAAAGAACUGAAGCCAAAAAAAAAACAAAACUGAAAAUUAGAUUCUAGAAAUCAGAAUUUGGGGAAGGAUUCCUGAAAUCAAUUGGAAAACUGAGAUAAACAGGAUCUGGAACUUGUAAUUAGUUAAUCAAAUUGAUAGCAAGAAUCAGCGGAGAUUAAUCAAUGAUUAAUGUGAAACUGAAACCACAACUAACCUGAAAAAUAAACCAGAAGAUCCUAACAGAAUUAGAAAUUACAGGGAAGAUAAGUUCAGAAAGCCUGACCUGACAUGAGAUGGAGAGGUUGAGCUGAGAUAAGGGAAAGAUAAUCAACCAGGAUUCCACCUGAUUGCAGGCUUGGAAUCCACCAAAUCCCCACUUCUGAAUCCAUAGAAGAACCACUCAAAAUCCACUGAGUCAACACCUGAAUCCACAGAUGUCUAAGCCUGAAAUCCACGGACCAGCAAAGCAACAGCUUCAUUCAUUUAUCAAAAUUUGUUGUUGUGGCUGUAGCCCCCUACAUAUACUUUUAGAGUUUGAGUAAGAUAAGACUCUUAAGUCUGACCAAAACAAGGAAAGCCUAAAGAUUAAAGUCAAUCCUGAACCAAAAUGGAAAGAAACAAAACACAAACUGACUAACUCUUCCAAUUAACCAGCUAAGGAAGAGUCCUAAUCUGACCAAACAACUUUAAAUAAUAAAGAAAAGACAACCAAACAGGCUGGAAUUAAAUGGGCACUCCAGUUGCUGGAAAGUGCUCUCUUGUUGGUGGCCAGAGAAAUAAUGUGCAAAACUUACAGCUUUUAGUUGCCAAAUGCAAUUGAUUCAAAGGAUAAUUGGUUGAGGAACUUUUCUGUCAUAUUAUCAGGUGGAGUGGUUCCCAUUAAUACUCACAUUUUCUCCUACUUUUGUAAGUUUAUCAGCUUUAUGCCAUCUCCAUCUAAAGCAUGCUUCACAAUGGCAGUCUAGAGUAUCUUCGGUGGCCUAAUGUGCGGAGGUAAUAGUAUAUGUAACAUCCUUUUGAGUCAUUGGCACUGGCCGAAUUGCCGGGUGGCUUUUUGAAACCUUUGAUGGUUUGGUUGAGUCGAAUAAAUUUGUGACCGAGAAACAAAAGUAAUACACCAGAGGUUUGUCAUCCUCAUCAAAGCCCUACCACCUUAAAUGUGGCUAAUAUCCAUAUUUCUCAUCCAUUCAAUCAUGCUUGCCAAUUUGUUGAUGACCCCAAAAUUGGAAUCUGUAUACACAUGUAAGAUUCAUCUCUUGUAAGUCAACUAAACCACUUGUCAUUUGGUAUUUAAGUUUCAGGCUACAGCCAUCUGAAAUGUGCCACCAGGAACCUGAGUUUCCAUCGAAAUCAUUUUCAUGGCUAUAAUCAUUUGUUGGAUUUGUUUGAAUCUCAGACAUUAUAGACAGUACUAUUGUUAGUUAUAUUGAGCAAAAGUUUAAUCACUCAAACCUAAUUGGAUAUUCUUAUACCAACAGCCCCAAUAUCUGCAAUAUGACAACUUCAUUGAAUGUCAAAUUCUUUAGGUAUAUUAUCCACAGCAUUGACACACUGAACACAAGCAAUCAAGAUGCGAUCAGAGAGCAGAUUUACACACAACUAGUGGUCCUGCUUCAACAGUGCUAGAUACCUCUAUAUACGUAUACACUUCUUGAUAAUACCCAUGCAUUUCAAUAAUCGUUUGUUCGUGAUGAUCAGACUUUGAACCUAUAGUUGCAUCUUCUUUGCCAGAAAUGUAGGUGUACUAUAUUGCUCUUAUGAAGCUUUUGUUACCAAAGAAAGGAGCUACAGUAUUCUACUUGGCCACAUUUUAGAUGAUAAAAAUUAUUUUCAUGGCUA